GUGAAGCUUCGCAGAAAACCUGGAUUUUGGCAUGAAAACCAGACCACUAUAUCUUGGGGUCCCGAUUACUGCGGGGCGCUCGUCGCGUGUAAGCGCGUACUCGUGUACAAACCGCUGACACAGACCACGCGUAGAGCGAAAGGGGACAUGAGAGAAUGGUGUUAUGCCGACACAGCCCAAAGGAGCUUAUGAUUUGUGUAUUACCGUAGACGUUUAACACCGACGACAAAAUGAGUUGUUAUAAUCAGAGCCGCCGCCGGAAAGAGGUGUAACCGCGUAGUUUACGCAGGAUACAUCCUUAGUUUUUUUUCCAUCAUGUUCAAAACCGGACCCGCUCCUGGAUUGGAUAAUGACGGUUCGGAAAUCAUUAUAAUGAAUGGGUUCUUAUCAUCAUGGGCGAAAAUAUCACGUUCCUCUCAGUGCAAUGGCGGCGUCGAAUUUAUGUACACCCAAUACACAUCUCCAUGUCAAGUUCAUUAUAUGGAUGUCUGUACAGAGAGGAAAGGUAUAAUUAUGGCUAGUCGACAGAGACGGGUUUGUGUGUGUGGAUCCAUGACAUUUAAUUAAAAUAUAUCAGAGUUAGUCAUACAGAGAGAAGUACUACUAUAGCCGCUGGCAGUUGUGCGUGGUGGUGUGGCGGUAUUGCCGCGUUAUAUGGGCGCGGGAACUGUUGUUUUGUUCAGACUGAAUCGCCCGGGAACAAAGACACGAAAAAUAGAUGUCAUUUUUUUCACUCGUGAACAUUACAUUAUUAUAUUAUUAUUGUGUCUAUUGAUGAUGUUUGAUCGAUUUUGAUUAGUCCGCUGUCAAAUUUUAAAAAUCCGUUGGAAAUCGUCAUAAUAGCACUGUCAGCAUUAACAGUAAUGUUUAUUCGGAGAAAUAACCAUAUUCACAUAAAAGUUUAUUUUU
Long non-coding RNA from Sipha flava (yellow sugarcane aphid), 909 nucleotides. RefSeq lists it as uncharacterized. The record is from RefSeq and is a predicted model, not a curated record. The transcript is spliced from 3 exons. NCBI's taxonomy places the organism in Eukaryota, Metazoa, Arthropoda, Insecta, Hemiptera, Aphididae.